UAAUUUGGAUUUUUUUUCUUCUUUUUUUCGAAGUUAAUUUUGGAAACCAAAAUAAAAAAAAUAAAAUAGGAUAGAAAUUUUGGGUUUAGAACCCGUUUGGAUACCCCUAAAAAUGUAGCAUAUUUAAUGUAACAUACCGGACUUUUAAAGUUAUGAAGUCACGGUGUAUGUUGGGUUGGAAAACUAUUUGAAUGGUUCCGGUGAGGUUCGGUGAAGUUCGGAAGCUUUCGGGCAUUUUGGUGCGCGUAGGCGCGAAAACGGAAUCCGAAAGGCUAUGCUGGGCCGUGAGCUAAGUUUGGCAUUAGCGUGGAUGAAAAGAUGAUAGAGACAUGUUCGAAAACAUGUUUGGAGAAUGUAACAUAUUGGAACCCAGAAGGAAUUAUCGAACAUUAGCCAAAUUGGCUAAAGCAUGCGAAUAAGAUGAAUGGA
RNAcentral lists this long non-coding RNA (429 nucleotides) under Ananas comosus (pineapple). RNAcentral describes it as "long non-coding RNA (ACOM_LNC000903)". Lineage: Eukaryota; Viridiplantae; Streptophyta; Magnoliopsida; Poales; Bromeliaceae. The record is from RNAcentral.